UACGGGGGGUGCAAGCGUUGUCCGGAUUUACUGGGCGUAAAGCGCACGUAGGCGGCCUGUUAAGUCGGAUGUGAAAGCCCCGGGCUCAACCCGGGAAGUGCAUUCGAAACUGGCGGGCUUGAAUAUGGAAGAGGGUCGCGGAAUUCCCGGUGUAGAGGUGAAAUUCGUAGAUAUCGGGAGGAACACCAGUGGCGAAGGCGGCGACCUGGGCCAAUAUUGACGCUGAGGUGCGAAAGCGUGGGGAGCAAACAGG
Molecule: ribosomal RNA, 253 nt
Filed under: uncultured bacterium
Lineage: Bacteria
Description: partial 16S ribosomal RNA
Rfam family: Bacterial small subunit ribosomal RNA
Source: RNAcentral